Molecule: ribosomal RNA, 904 nt
Filed under: uncultured Bacteroidota bacterium
Lineage: Bacteria; Pseudomonadati; Bacteroidota
Description: bacterial SSU rRNA
Rfam family: Bacterial small subunit ribosomal RNA
Source: RNAcentral
GCCUACACAUGCAAGUCGAACGGGUAACAGGGAAAAAGCUUGCUUUUCCGCUGACGAGUGGCGCACGGGUGCGUAACGCGUAUACAAUCUACCUCUUACAGGGGGAUAGCCUUUAGAAAUGAAGAUUAAUACCCCAUGGCAUUAUAAACCGGCAUCGGUUUAUAAUUAAAGUUUCGGCGGUAGGAGAUGAGUAUGCGUUCUAUUAGCUAGUAGGUGUGGUAACGGCACACCUAGGCAACGAUAGAUAGGGGCCCUGAGAGGGGGAUCCCCCACACUGGUACUGAGACACGGACCAGACUCCUACGGGAGGCAGCAGUGAGGAAUAUUGGACAAUGGGCGGAAGCCUGAUCCAGCCAUGCCGCGUGCAGGAAGACUGCCCUAUGGGUUGUAAACUGCUUUUGUACAGGAAGAAACCUUUCCACGUGUGGAGAGCUGACGGUACUGUAAGAAUAAGCAUCGGCUAACUCCGUGCCAGCAGCCGCGGUAAUACGGAGGAUGCAAGCGUUAUCCGGAAUCAUUGGGUUUAAAGGGUCCGUAGGUGGAUUGGUCAGUCAGAGGUGAAAUCCUGCAGCUCAACUGUAGAACUGCCUUUGAUACUGCCGGUCUUGAAUUAUUGUGAAGUGGUUAGAAUAUGUAGUGUAGCGGUGAAAUGCAUAGAUAUUACAUAGAAUACCGAUUGCGAAGGCAGAUCACUAACAAUAUAUUGACACUGAUGGACGAAAGCGUGGGGAGCGAACGGGAUUAGAUACCCCGGUAGUCCACGCCGUAAACGAUGGUCACUAGCUGUUCGGACUUCGGUCUGAGUGGCUAAGCGAAAGUGAUAAGUGACCCACCUGGGGAGUACGUUCGCAAGAAUGAAACUCAAAGGAAUUGACGGGGGCCCGCACAAGCGGUGGAGCAUGUG